Molecule: ribosomal RNA, 123 nt
Filed under: Pelagomonas calceolata
Lineage: Eukaryota; Pelagophyceae; Pelagomonadales; Pelagomonadaceae
Description: partial Bacterial large subunit ribosomal RNA
Source: RNAcentral
AAACACUCUCGCUGUAAACCCAAGGUUUUCGAUGUCAAGUUAAGCUGCGUCGAAGAGAAAUUCAAAAAUAAAAACGGCCCCUAAGAAUAUAGUGAAAACUCAUUUUGAUGGGAAACAAUAUAC